Molecule: unclassified non-coding RNA, 163 nt
Filed under: fungal sp.
Lineage: Eukaryota; Fungi
Description: partial internal transcribed spacer region
Source: RNAcentral
ACGACGUCGCGCGUGUCGAUGAGCCCGCGCCAGAAGCCCGAGAGGCGCGUCUGGAAGCUCACGUAACGCAGCACGUCGCCGACCGCGCCGUGGCCCGAGACCUCGGCGAUGUCGUCCAAGAACCAGAGCGUCCCGAGCACCGCGAAGGUGAUGAAGAACGCAG